Molecule: ribosomal RNA, 559 nt
Filed under: uncultured bacterium
Lineage: Bacteria
Description: bacterial SSU rRNA
Rfam family: Bacterial small subunit ribosomal RNA
Source: RNAcentral
GGGAAACUGCCCGAUGGAGGGGGAUAACUACUGGAAACGGUAGCUAAUACCGCAUAACGUCGCAAGACCAAAGUGGGGGACCUUCGGGCCUCACACCAUCGGAUGUGCCCAGAUGGGAUUAGCUGGUAGGUGGGGUAAUGGCUCACCUAGGCGACGAUCCCUAGCUGGUCUGAGAGGAUGACCAGCCACACUGGAACUGAGACACGGUCCAGACUCCUACGGGAGGCAGCAGUGGGGAAUACUGCACAAUGGGCGCAAGCCUGAUGCAGCCAUGCCGCGUGUAUGAAGAAGGCCUUCGGGUUGUAAAGUACUUUCAGCGGGGAGGAAGGCGGUGAAGUUAAUAGCUUCACCGACUGACGUUACCCGCAGAAGAAGCACCGGCUAACUCCGUGCCAGCAGCCGCGGUAAUACGGAGGGUGCAAGCGUUAAUCGGAAUUACUGGGCGUAAAGCGCACGCAGGCGGUCUGUCAAGUCGGAUGUGAAAUCCCCGGGCUUAACCUGGGAACUGCAUUCGAAACUGGCAGGCUAGAGUCUUGUAGAGGGGGGUAGAAUUCCAGGU